Long non-coding RNA from Pezoporus occidentalis (night parrot), 3600 nucleotides. RefSeq lists it as uncharacterized. The record is from RefSeq and is a predicted model, not a curated record. NCBI's taxonomy places the organism in Eukaryota, Metazoa, Chordata, Aves, Psittaciformes, Psittacidae. The transcript is spliced from 4 exons.
UCCAUUCCUCUUAGUCUGUGUUGGGCAGAAACCAUUUUCCAAGCUCAGGAGGUGCUGGGAGCGAGGUGAAGGAUGACUUGGAGAACCAGCACAAACACCGAAAAAGAGUCAAGUAUAAAAACGUAUUUCCUGUGCAGAAGGGAAGAAGGAAGUCAAGGCACAUCAUGGCACUGCCCCAGGCUGAUCUGAAAUCUUUGGCCAGGUUCAUCUAAGGUGAAAAAUCCUGGGAAGCUGCCAUCACUCUGCUGAGCUAAUUCAACCCAAAGUCAUCAAACCAACAUGGCUUUAAAAGUUGAACCUGAGACCCUAUUUGCCAUUUUGCAGCAUUUCUUCAUUCCUGCCUGAGAACUGGAGUGCUGGCAACCGCAGCCAGCCACCAGCUGUUUCAGCUUGUUCCACGCUGUAGGAAGUCAAACUGAACAUGCAGCACCUUGUAAACCUUAUAAUAUAACCUGUCCAAUGGGGAAAAAAUGCAUAAAGAAAAAAGGCAAGAGAUCAUAGAGAAAAUCGGGUUUUUUAAACACACAUUAGAGAGGUUACCUGCAGCAAGAGAGGAUAUUGAGUUUAAAUAUCUAACAUUCAAAAUCUGAAUGUCUUAUUUUAAUAAAGAUCUCCAGGCUUGGAUGACUUUGGCUUGGGUCUAUCUCUCAGUUUGGUGUUAUCUGGAUUGAGCUAGUUGAAAGGAGCUUCUUCUGUGUCUCCAGACAAGUUCAUCCAGUUUCUAUCACUAGCCCAUCCCAUAACAACAAUAACUUUACACUUAGCUCAUGAAGACAUGCCAGAGAAUCUUCUGCACCUCGCUGCAGUCCAGGCAGGCUGGAAGGCAAAGCAGUGUCCUGGGAGUAGCUGUGCCUGAGCCCAUAACAACCGGUUUUUUUUUUGUCCUACUCAGUAUCGGAAUGUUCUUUCUGAUUUCAGUUGUGUGAAAGGACAACAGCUUGGAGCUCGUGCAUGUGCUAUCUGAGUGGCCCUGAUAAUGUCAGUGUCACAGUUACAGUCAUUAUCCUUGAUAACAGUAAUGUUCUCCUGCUGCCUCCUGAGUGGAUUCACUGUGAAAGAGGACAUAGCCCAUCUGCAGGUGCAAGGAGCAAUGCUUCCCAAGGCUACUUUAGCCUUUCCCACCUUAAGAAGCCUGUCCUUGACUCCAAUUGUUCUCCCCUCCUUGCUGUGGGUCUGCUCCUUGGGCAGCACAUCUACAAUCACUGCUCAGUUUUCUUCUUCAGUUCUAGCCUAGAUCUUCCCUGAUUUGGCUUCUGCUUCCUGUGCUCCACUGAAUCAGUGUACUUAGCUCAUGACUUCCAUAAAGUUCAGAAAUGGUGGUAAGACGAGUCUUUCAUUCUGAUUUUAAACUGUCACUUUAAAAACAUUUUAAACUGUUACUUGUAAAAAUCGGUAUUUUAGAGACAGGAGCUGCUGGGGGAAGGAGAAGGAAUAGUGCAUCCCUCUCAGCAGCUUCCUUACGAUGAAGGCAACAAGGAACAGACUGUUCUAUUGAUGCUGCAUUUCAGCCCAAGCUUCUGGAAAAGCCAGUUGUCUCUUAAGGGUCCCACAAAAGCCUCUAUUAAUUUAUUUCUAGCUAACGCUACUGCUCCCUCCUCUGAGCUGUCUCCUGCUUUCAAGAGAUUUGCUCAGGUUACUCUUCAUACUUUCAUUUGGCUUCCACAAUUCUGUUUCGGCUUCCACAUCUUUAAUCUUUCUUACAACGCCUUCAGGGGUCCUCAUUCUCUCCUCAGCAUUUUCUGCACAUUCAAGAAAUAGCUGCACUCAGUCACCUUUUCUUCCCUCUCUGUACUUUGCCUCCAAAGGAUCUCAGCACAAAUAUAAUUUCAGCAGCUUGCUCCAUGCUUAUGAUUCACCAGCCUUUCUACUUCGGAUCUGUCAUGUUCUUUCCAAGUGAAAAUUUUGACUUGUCUCUCUGGCAUUAAUUGCCACGCUACUGUCUGGUAUUUCCUAAGCUGAGCAAGUGCAGCACCCACAUUGAGGUAUUUUGAGUAAUCUUCUUUAAUGCCACUCCACUAAACACAUUUUCUAACAACUCUUUAGCUUCUGUGUCCUCUUAAUAUAGAAACCUGAUUUUGGCUUCCCACAUCCUUUACUCCCACCUUGUAUAACUUGUGUUCCCAUAGUUCUGAUACAUGUAGGAAAGAGGUGACAGGUUUGCAUGGGGUCACCAGUCACUGUAUCCUAAAACACAUGUGGAGGUCUCAGUAGAUUUGGUGAAUGAAAGUAGAUUAAGUCUGAAAACAUCCUUUGAGACUAACCCAGACCACCCUUUGCUCAUUUUUUUUGGUCUUAUCUCUGCAUUUGAGAAGGUGAAUAAUAAUCAAGCCUACCAGAGUUUUCUAAAGGCAACUGUAUCCAACUGUGAAGGUGUAAACACAAAAAAGAGGGGCUGAGCCCUUAGCACUGACCAACGGGGAAUAACUGGGAGUAAUGAGAUUAAACUGAACAAAGGAAAACCACUGAAGGUUGAACAUCAAGAAAAUAUCCUGGCGGUGUCUAUCAGACCAUGGACUAAUUUCCCACGGGAAGCGUUGGAAACUCCAUCUCUUGAGUCUUUAAAAUUAGACAAGAUAAAUCACUAAAAAACAGAGGGCUGGGGACAACCCAGCUGGAAUUGGAAAGGGAUGAGCUAGACUGUUUCAAAAGAUGGUUUUAGUCUCUGUUUCUCUUAUCCUGAAAUUAAAUAACAUGACUUGCAUAGAGUCUGCUCAGGCAGGACUGACAGGCCUGCAGCUGCACUGUGUUCUCCUCAUUAUGGUCAGGUUGAAAUGCUAAUGUGACUCUCGCUGAUCAUUUUUCUGUGUUGUGGUAAUGUUACAGCUCAGGCCUGCUAGGGUAACCGGAGGAGUCCCCCAUGGGCCCUCCUCCUCCCCGCAUCGCAGACCUGGUUGGGGAACAUCAGAGGAUUUUUCUGCCAAAAUGCUUCUUUGUUUUGGACUGAAUCCUCAUUAUUUCCUCGACCAUGUACCCUGUUGGGCUGAGCUCCCCUAGAUGGCAGAGCUGAAGCGAUUUGAAAUGCAAAAUGCUGUAUGCAGCCUUGCUGUAAUAGGGACUGCCAUAGACAGCUCUUGUUAGAAACAGCUUCUGUUGUUGCAUUUCACUCUUUGCCGCAUGUCAGAGAUUGUCCAACUCCUCUAACAGUUACUGCAGUUAGAAUCCGGACCCAAAAAGCCAUUGAUUCCCAUGAACGAUUCAAGUUUCCAGUUCUCAGAAAGAUCAAGCCAAGAAAAUGGUUCAUUUAUGGUUGUGUCUUUAGCAAACCCCCUUGGUCCAGCUGCAUGGACUUUUUGAGAAGAAAAAUCAGCUUUGAUACAGUUAUGCAAAUGCUUGCUAAAAGAAAUGAAUGUGAGAGGCAAAUUCAGAGAAGUUACAACUGACCUUCUUGUCCACUUGCACUUUUCAAGCCUUCUGUUACGUAAAACUAUGGGUUACCUCAUGAGCAGCGUUAGUCUGCACAGUUUCUCUUUCUGUCCUCACACAGAUGUUUUUCCAACUAAUUAAAUUCUACUGCAAUGCAUUUUUUUGUGUUGAAGUGCUGAAGAAAGCUGAACCCAAACCGAGUCACAUUUUGAGGAUUUCUUCUGAAAUUGCACACAU